GACAACUCCCCGUUAAAUCCCCAUAACCCCCUUUACUACCCCAUUUGUCCUGGCCCUAUCCCAUA
This 65-nucleotide small RNA is filed under the name Saccharolobus solfataricus. RNAcentral describes it as "ncRNA Sso-204". The record is from RNAcentral. Lineage: Archaea; Thermoproteati; Thermoproteota; Thermoprotei; Sulfolobales; Sulfolobaceae.